Molecule: ribosomal RNA, 484 nt
Filed under: uncultured bacterium
Lineage: Bacteria
Description: partial 16S ribosomal RNA
Rfam family: Bacterial small subunit ribosomal RNA
Source: RNAcentral
AUUGAACGCUGGCGGCAGGCCUAACACAUGCAAGUCGAGCGGAUGAAGGGAGCUUGCUCCUGGAUUCAGCGGCGGACGGGUGAGUAAUGCCUAGGAAUCUGCCUGGUAGUGGGGGAUAACGUCCGGAAACGGGCGCUAAUACCGCAUACGUCCUGAGGGAGAAAGUGGGGGAUCUUCGGACCUCACGCUAUCAGAUGAGCCUAGGUCGGAUUAGCUAGUUGGUGGGGUAAAGGCCUACCAAGGCGACGAUCCGUAACUGGUCUGAGAGGAUGAUCAGUCACACUGGAACUGAGACACGGUCCAGACUCCUACGGGAGGCAGCAGUGGGGAAUAUUGGACAAUGGGCGAAAGCCUGAUCCAGCCAUGCCGCGUGUGUGAAGAAGGUCUUCGGAUUGUAAGGCACUUUAAGUUGGGAGGAAGGGCAGUAAGUUAAUACCCUGCUGUUUUGACGUUACCAACAGAAUAAGCACCGGCUAACUUCGUG